RNAcentral lists this ribosomal RNA (468 nucleotides) under uncultured bacterium. Its description in RNAcentral is "partial 16S ribosomal RNA". It matches the Rfam family "Bacterial small subunit ribosomal RNA", at positions 28 to 507 of the family's 1533-position model. The record is from RNAcentral.
GACGAACGCUGGCGGCGUGCUUAACACAUGCAAGUCGAACGGAAAGGCCCUGCUUUUGUGGGGUGCUCGAGUGCCGAACGGGUGAGUAACACGUGAGUAACCUGCCCUUGUCUUUGGUGUAACUUCAGGAAACUGGGGCUAAUAUCGGAUAGCAGCUGCUGCUGCAUGGUGGGGGUUGGAAAGUUUCGGCGGUUGGGGAUGGAUUCGCGGCUUACCAGCUUGUUGGUGGGGGAGUUGCUUACCCAGGCUUUGACGGGUAGCCGGCUUGAGAGAGUGACCGGGGACAAUGGGCCUGAGAUACGGCCCAGACUGGAACGGGAGGCAGCAGGGGAGAGUCUGACACAGUGAGCCGAAGCGUGAGGCAACGGCGCCGGGUGCGGGAUGACCGCCUUCGGGUUAUGAACCGCUUUCGCCUGUGACGAGGCGUGUGUGACGGUAAUGAGUAAAGAAGCACCGGCUAACUACGUG